Molecule: long non-coding RNA, 2314 nt
Organism: Myotis davidii
Lineage: Eukaryota; Metazoa; Chordata; Mammalia; Chiroptera; Vespertilionidae
Exons: 2
Source: RefSeq, a predicted model, not a curated record
AAUGGAGAUGGAAAAAAUGAAAUUAAAUUAAAUUUGAGAAAAAAUAAAGAAAAGAAAAAAAAAAGAAAGGAGAAUUGCCAAAGGUCAAAUAGGUAGUAUGGGCUGAGCUAGGAUUUGAACAGGUCUAUACUCUUAACCAGUGAAGCACGCUGCCUCACCUUCUUUAAGAUAUCUAUAAAGUAUUUAUUAUCAUUCCUGACUCGUGGUAAGUACUCCAUAAAUGAUAACUGCUUUUGUUGUUGGAUUUAUAAUUAUUAUAGUUACUUUCCCUUUUAUGACUCAUCACUCGUAUUGAACCUUACACUCAGACAGGGAUUGAAGAUCUGAAGGGUGGAAUUGGCAGUCCUGGAAAUUUCGUGGAUUUUAUUUUUCAUGGACUAUCCUCAACUCUGGCAGGAGGCAGUUCCUUCUUGCCCUUAAGAAGUUCAAAGCUUUCCACCUUCCGCCCUUAGCUGGUGGCAAGACUUCAAUAAUUACUUUAGCCUUCGGACUCCAUUGUGCAGGAGAACCUGUUAGAAGCCUUCCUCUGUGGCUUCUGAAGCACCAUCUCCAAAUCAAGAUGCACAAGACUUCCUCUGGCUCUUUUGAUCUUUUGAAAUUGCAAGCACAGGAAGGAAAGAAUGGAUAGGGGGAUAAAGAAUAGCUAUCGUUGUUGCAAUAAUAAUGUUGCGUUUUUACAGAGCCCUUUCUCUCAUGAGCCCCGAGCUUUCACAGCCGUCACACCAUUGGCCUCUGCAUUGUGAACCUAGAAGUCAUCGUGAGUGUUCGCAGAGCUGUAAAACAAUUGCACCGACACAUACAGCACCAAGAGAAGCAAGCCAUGGUGGCAAUUGCACAUCGCCGUGGGUGUGGUAGUCAUGCAUGGGUGCAUGCCGCUCACAGCUCUGUGAUGUUCAAGCAGAGGUUGAGUGUAAUUCGGUGCUAGUUGUCUGGUCCUGCAAUUGGAAGUCACAGAACUGGUCUGCAAGCAUGAAGUCAAGAAGCGUGGCAAGGCCCUUGAAGAUCUCUGGAGCUGAGGAAACAGUUGUGGAGUGGACGGGAAUGUUAUCUACUUCUAAGUGGCCUGGUUGUUUCGUCUGAUUCCUCAAGAAAUACUGGUUUGCUUGACUGCCUUAGGCUCUUUCUAGAGGCUACUUGUACAUCAGCAAAAUUCUUAUUAUAUGGCAUGAGCACCAGAAACAUCACGUGUUCCCGGGAGGCACACCCCGCCCCCAACAUACACACCUUUCCCCUUAAAAGGAAAAAGUCUUCUGUUUUAAAGUUACAAGUAACUUCUGUGCAAGAUAAUGACUCUGGGAAACAAUUCCUUUCCUCAUGUGGGAAGAUAUUUUCAGAAAGGGUAGUUCCUCAGUAAGGAAAAUGACUCCAUUAAAAACAUUUAUUUGCCAUUUACCCACCUGCCAUUUUCUCAAUUCUACAAAGCCAUAAAAGUGAAUUGUUGUAACUCUCUUAUAAUCCUCAAGUGAAUCCCCUCCAGGGCACCUCCUCUCCCUCGCACCCUCCAAUAAAAAAAAACCAAACCUGCGAGGCUAGUGCUAGGAAUCCUAGCAGAUCAGGGAUUGUAUUGGGUGAAGCUGUGCGAUAACACAUAGGAGGGGAAAAUGACUCUGUAUGCUUCACUCAUGAUUGUGAUGCUGGAGGCUUGCCCCUACUGCCCACAUUGCCGGGAGGACAGCCAAUAGUAGACUUUUAUUAAGAAAUUAAUCAACUCUGUCAUGGCUUUAGUUGACUCUUUCAGUCUCAUUUCAGUCUGAAGUGCCCUGCUCACCUGUGAUCCUGUGGGCUGGGGGUUUGCUAUGAGUAAGAGGACAUAGGCUCAAUUUGAGACAGUUCAGAAACAUUUUAUAAAUCCUUUAAAAUAUAUAAGUGACAGUACAUGAUUCUUUCUCGGUAGUAAUCAUUUCAAUCGCUGUGCUAUGUGCUUAGCCAGAUGGUGUUCUCCCUGUGUCUCUUAUAUUUAUACUAACAGAUAUGCAUAUUUUACUCUUGAUAAAAUAAUUUUCAUAUUGCCACCACUUUGUAUAAGAUUUGUCUUGACUGCCUCUGGGGGAGGGGCAGAGAGGGAAGGAAAGGCAUCACGUUUACCUAAUAUUUGGGAAAUUGAGCUGCUGAAAGAAACAAACCACGCCAUCUGCAAUGAAGCGUAGUACUGGACCCUGGCGUCCCUGGUGAGGCUAAGCCCCUAUGUAGCACCCCAGGCUCCUGUGACAUGGUAAUGAAGAGGCCGAAGCACAAAGGGGCUGACUCAAAUUUUAAUGCUAACUAUUCUCAUUAUUAAUGAGUAAUUACAGCAAAUAUUUACAGACCUCCUUCC